This 262-nucleotide unclassified non-coding RNA is filed under the name uncultured fungus. Its description in RNAcentral is "partial contains small subunit ribosomal RNA, internal transcribed spacer 1, and 5.8S ribosomal RNA". The stretch from base 1 to 73 matches the Rfam family "Eukaryotic small subunit ribosomal RNA", at positions 1759 to 1831 of the family's 1831-position model. The record is from RNAcentral. Lineage: Eukaryota; Fungi.
CCAAACUUGGUCAUUUAGAGGAAGUAAAAGUCGUAACAAGGUUUCCGUAGGUGAACCUGCGGAAGGAUCAUUAACGGUUUUCGGGUGCCUCGCGCCCAAACCCCAACCCUUGUGAUUUGAUAUCGCCCCGUUUCUUUGCCGGUCUCGGCCGGCAGAAGUUUUCUCAAACCCGUUGUAAUCAUGUCGUCUGAAUGUGAAGAUUGAAUAAAUCAAAACUUUCAACAACGGAUCUCUUGGUUCUGGCAUCGAUGAAGAACGCAGC